UUGAGGGCUUUCGGCUCCGGUGGA
Molecule: non-coding RNA, 24 nt
Filed under: Rattus norvegicus (Norway rat)
Lineage: Eukaryota; Metazoa; Chordata; Mammalia; Rodentia; Muridae
Source: RNAcentral